AGCAGCCUAUUUUCAACAUCCUUUAGGUCUGAUUAGAACUGCUCCUCUCAAGAUGAACUGUAACAGUGACGGCAGUGGAGGUACCAACGUGGGAGGGACCAGUGGAGGGGGUGAUGGCAACAAUGGUAAUGGAGAGGACGAAGAUAGCGAGGAAGAGGAGGGCAACAAUGGAAAUUGCCAGGACCAGAAUAACUUCUGUGCUGACUGGGCCAGACGGGGAUACUGUACCGGGAGCUAUGCCACUUACAUGAGAACCAACUGUCGUCAGAGCUGUGAGCUGUGCACAACUGGGACUGGGACAUCUGAGGAGGAUGGGGAGGAGGAGGAGGAAGGAGAGGAGGAGGAGGAGGAAGGUUCUAACUGUGAGGACGGCAACACUUAACUGUGCAAGCUGGGCCCGGCGGGGAAAGUGUCGCAGUAACCCCACUGGAUGAGGGAAAAUGCAAGAGGAACUGCGAAUGUGUGUGGGACCACAGGGUCAGGGUGCGCAGACAACCAUCGUCACUGCCGGUACUGGUCUCAGAACGGCUACUGCACCUCCAGGGCUGUCUACAUGAAUGCCAACUGUCCCAAGAGCUGUGAGAGGUGUGAUGCACCAUGAAGCUUCAGGUGUGAUGCACCAUGCCUAAAGUGAAUCUGGUGUGUCACGCCGAAGAGCCAUUAUACUGGCUAUAUUAGAUACAGAAGCUGGUGUGCUACAGCAAAGGGCAGUUUUACUGCAAGAUAGAUAUAGAUACACAUACAGAAGAAGUGUGUCUACAAGAUUGUCAUAGUGCUUCUUGUAUUAAUGAAAUUUAUACAAAUUUCAUAGAAUUUUAUGCAAAACCGCACAAAGCACUAUGCAAAAACGAAUCUAGUGAAAGCACACAAAGCACAAAACAAUGAUAUACAAAUCUUAUGAAACAUAAAUGCUUUUUGUGUAUUGAGCAAUUGUAUGUUACAUAAAAUUUGUAGGAAUGUUAAGGUACCCUUGUCCAAGCCGCUAGUACUCUAUUUUUGAAGACUGCAAUGUGAAGAACUGCUUUAAAUUAUAGUCAUCCUUGUCUUUUCUAUUAAGAUUGCUUUGAGUUUUAACUUUGCAUGUUACAUAGAAAGCAAGCUGAUGUGUGGUAAAUAUGGUUGACUCUUUAAGUACACUUAUACUACAAUUAUAAGUGUUUGAUAAUAAGCUAACUAGCUUUGCCAGUGGCGUAUAAUGUUUUACAACAUGAUUACCAAGAAAGGUGUGAAAUUGUGUCAUUUUGAUUUUUGUCACUUAAAUGUCAACAUUGUCUCUCUAAAGACAAAAUAUAAUGUUACAUGAUGAGCUUGAUGUGAGGUCAUUUUGAAUACCUGCUUAAGACGAAAGGCAUUUUAUGUAUUUUUGCGCAUAUACAUGCACAGUGUAUGUAUUGGUUUUAUUUCAAUUCAUUUAAUCUCGGCACCAAUAUUGUAGGUCCUAAGGACCUUCUUGGUAACACUACAAUCUUUCUGUAGAAGCUGACUUCCUUUGGAAACAAAUCAUUUCACAUUGUUCCUUUGUCAUACAGUUUUAGGUCACAACAUUUACACUUAACAUGUAUGUUGCCAUUUGGUACAUCUAGGUGUACAGUAUAGUGUGUGUGUUGUAUCUAUUGUAGCACUUCAUGUUUCUUGAUUAAAUGUACAAUAUACCUAAGAAAUCUUCAAUGUCCUGGAAAACGUCUUGCAAACAAUAAAAUCCGUGGAAUAUCAAA
This is an RNA transcript of Branchiostoma floridae (Florida lancelet), 1715 nucleotides long. RefSeq lists it as uncharacterized. The transcript is spliced from 5 exons. The record is from RefSeq and is a predicted model, not a curated record. Lineage: Eukaryota; Metazoa; Chordata; Leptocardii; Amphioxiformes; Branchiostomatidae.